Molecule: ribosomal RNA, 730 nt
Filed under: uncultured bacterium
Lineage: Bacteria
Description: bacterial SSU rRNA
Rfam family: Bacterial small subunit ribosomal RNA
Source: RNAcentral
AACAGGAUUAGAUACCCUGGUAGACCACGCCGUAAACGAUGUCGACUUGGAGGUUGCGCCCUUGAGGCGUGGCUUCCGGAGCUAACGCGUUAAGUCGACCGCCUGGGGAGUACGGCCGCAAGGUUAAAACUCAAAUGAAUUGACGGGGGCCCGCACAAGCGGUGGAGCAUGUGGUUUAAUUCGAUGCAACGCGAAGAACCUUACCUACUCUUGACAUCCAGAGAACUUUCCAGAGAUGGAUUGGUGCCUUCGGGAACUCUGAGACAGGUGCUGCAUGGCUGUCGUCAGCUCGUGUUGUGAAAUGUUGGGUUAAGUCCCGCAACGAGCGCAACCCUUAUCCUUUGUUGCCAGCGGUCCGGCCGGGAACUCAAAGGAGACUGCCAGUGAUAAACUGGAGGAAGGUGGGGAUGACGUCAAGUCAUCAUGGCCCUUACGAGUAGGGCUACACACGUGCUACAAUGGCGCAUACAAAGAGAAGCGACCUCGCGAGAGCAAGCGGACCUCAUAAAGUGCGUCGUAGUCCGGAUUGGAGUCUGCAACUCGACUCCAUGAAGUCGGAAUCGCUAGUAAUCGUGGAUCAGAAUGCCACGGUGAAUACGUUCCCGGGCCUUGUACACACCGCCCGUCACACCAUGGGAGAGGGUUGCAAAAGAAGUAGGUAGCUUAACCUUCGGGAGGGCGCUUACCACUUUGUGAUUCCUGACUGGGGUGAAGUCGUAACAAGGUAACC